This is a long non-coding RNA of Bicyclus anynana (squinting bush brown), 1034 nucleotides long. RefSeq lists it as uncharacterized. Lineage: Eukaryota; Metazoa; Arthropoda; Insecta; Lepidoptera; Nymphalidae. The transcript has 2 exons. The record is from RefSeq and is a predicted model, not a curated record.
AGCGUGUGACAAAGGAUAUCUGGAAAGCUGAUAUAUAUAACCUCCUUUCGAUGAGUAUAAGGUCAGUGUAGAUAAUAAAUGAAACAUUGAAGAUGUCCCGAAUACCGAUAUUCCUGUGCAUCCUGGUCCUAACCACGGCAGUGCUUUGCGAGGAUCCGCCCACUACGAAGGAUGAACACCAGAAACAAGAUCAUCCGAAACAGGAUCAUCCAAAACAGGACCAUCCAAAGCUGGACCAUCCGAAACAAACAGGCUCAAUCAACCCUCCCGAACAACAUUACAAAAUGCCCAAACAACCUGACAUGCCUGAUAUGAAAACACCGCAAAUGCCCAAUUACAACCAGAAGUAGUAUUUAGAAUUUGUAGUGUCAAUAUGUCCAGUUCUUGAAAAUUGUACUUAAAUUGAUUAGUAUGGAACAUAUACAAUUUUAAUUGCAUACGUUCAUUCAAAUUAUACAUUUUCAUUUUACACCCAUUGUAAUUUAAAAGCUAUGGUAGUAUUAUUUUAGUAUUAUUAUAUGUAUACCAGUAAGAAACAAACUAGAAGGCUUAGGUUAAGGAAGUGAUGCUUGUUGAAUUCCAAAAGAUUCUACUUAUCCAUAUCUUGAUUUGUGCUGGUUUACAGGACCCAAAAGCCAAUGGAUUAAAUAUCAUUAGAAAGGUCUAAAAAGUUGGCCAGUAAAAUAGUUCAAAUCUAAUGCGGCAAGGAAGUACCUAGUCGUACGUAUGCCGUACGAAUUAUACAUAUAUAAUUAUUCAUACGGAUAUAAGAUUAUUUUUUAAUUUUUUAAUAAACCAAUUCGUACGGUUUACGUGUAUAUAGUCACUUCCAUGCGACCACGAAUCCAAUAUCUAUUUAUUAAUUUGUCUAAUAUCUGUUAAUGUGUUGUUUUAAGAACUGGACUUUCAACUUUCAAUAAAAACAAAGAUAGCUGGCAAUGUUAAACUGACUAUGUGAAAUAUGUAGGUACCUUCUAUUAUAUUUAUGUAAUUUACUUUAGAAUAUGAAGCAUAAUAAAUUCAGUUGCAACUGU